UACAGAGGGGGCAAGCGUUGUUCGGAAUUACUGGGCGUAAAGGGCGCGUGGGCGGCCUGUUAAGUCGAACGUGAAAUCCCCGGGCUCAACCCGGGAACUGCGUCCGAUACUGGCAGGCUUGAAUUCGGGAGAGGGAUGUGGAAUUCCUGGUGUAGCGGUGAAAUGCGCAGAUAUCAGGAGGAACACCGGUGGCGAAGGCGGGUCUCUGGGCCGUAACUGACGCUGAGGAGCGAAAUCAUGGGGAGCGAACAGG
This 253-nucleotide ribosomal RNA is filed under the name uncultured bacterium. Its description in RNAcentral is "partial 16S ribosomal RNA". It matches the Rfam family "Bacterial small subunit ribosomal RNA", at positions 524 to 776 of the family's 1533-position model. The record is from RNAcentral.